UGAGAGUUUGAUCCUGGCUCAGGAUGAACGCUGGCGGCGUAGAUAAGGCAUGCAAGUCAAGCGGAUUAUUUUUUGAACGAGGCUGAGAUUACAUCAAGGCCGAGGGACGAAGAUGAUUAGCGGCGAACGAGUCAGUAAUACCUUGGUACGUACUCCGAAGACGGGCAUAACCAGCCGAAAGGUUGGCUAAUUCCCGAUAGUCCCGCAAGGGUAAAGGCGCAAGCCACUUUGGAAGCGGCCUAGGUCCGAUCAGCUUGUUGGUGAGGUAAUGGCUCACCAAGGCGACGACCGGUAGGGGGCCUGAGAGGGUGAUCCCCGACGACGAAACUGAGACACGGUUCGUACACCUACGGGUGGCAGCAGUCGAGAAUAUUCGACAAUGGAGGAAACUCUGAUCGAGUGACGCCGCGUGAAGGAAGAAGGGCUUCGGCCUGUAAACUUCUUUUCCUUGGGAAGAACUCUGACGGUACCAGGGGAAUAAGGGACUGCUAAAUUUGUGCCAGCAGCAGCGGUAAGACAAAUGUCCCGAGCGUUAUCCGGAAUAACUGGGCGUAAAGAGCGAGUAGGAGGAUUCGUUAGUCCUGCGUGAAAUCCAAGAGCUCAACUCUUGGGCGGGCGCGAGAAACGGCGAAUCUUGAGUCUGUCAGGGGCAAGCGGAACGUGCGGUGUAGGGGUGAAAUCCGUUGAUAUCGCACGGAACACCAAAAGCGAAGGCAGCUUGCUGGGACAGUACUGACUCUCAAUCGCGAAAGCGUGGGCAUAAAAAAGGAUUGAACAAAUUGUAGAUACCCUUGUAUUCCACGCCCUAAACGAUGCGCGCUAGCUAUGGCGGGAAUCGACCAUCGCUGUGGCGAAGCUAACGCGUUAAGCGCGCCGCCUGGGAAGUACGGCCGCAAGGCUGAAACUCAAAGGAAUAGGCGGGGACUAGCACAAGCGGUGGACCAUGUGGUUUAAUUCGAUAGUAAGCGAGGAACCUCACCAGGGUUUGACAUACUGGAGAAAGCCGAUCGAAAGAUUGGUUGUCCCGCAAGGACUCUAGUACAGGUGCUGCACGGUUGUCGUCAGCUCGUCACGUGAGUGGUACGGUUGAGUCCCGUAACGAGCGCAACCCUUGUUGUCUGUUACAAGUGUCAGACGAGACUGCCGAGGCAACUCGGAGGAAGGUAAGGACGACGUCAAAUCAGCGUGGCCUUUAUAUCCUGGGCUACACACGUGGUACAAUGGACGCUACAACGGGUUGCGAAGCCGCGAGGCGGAGCUAAUCCUAUCAAAAGCGUCCCCAAUUCGGAUUGGAGGCUGCAAUUUGCCUCCAUGAAGCCGGAAUCGCUAGUAAUCGCGGAUCAGAACGCCGCGGUGAAUACGUUCUCUGGUCCUGCACUCACCGCCCGUCAAGUCAAAGGAGAUGGGAGUACGUGAAGCCCAACCUCGUGUUGGGUUAGCGUAAACUCAUUGAUUAGGACUAAGUCGU
Molecule: ribosomal RNA, 1468 nt
Filed under: uncultured bacterium
Lineage: Bacteria
Description: bacterial SSU rRNA
Rfam family: Bacterial small subunit ribosomal RNA
Source: RNAcentral